This 840-nucleotide unclassified non-coding RNA is filed under the name Hevea brasiliensis (rubber tree). Lineage: Eukaryota; Viridiplantae; Streptophyta; Magnoliopsida; Malpighiales; Euphorbiaceae. The record is from RNAcentral.
CACCUGGCUCCACCAGUUAACAGUUGCAGCUCUUUCUCUGUCAAAAAGCCACAAACAGAAGCUUCUCUGUAUGUCUAUGUAUUUACAAUAAUAACAAGGAAGAGACGGGGACUCAGAGGUUUGGGUGGCUUGGAGCAUGGGUAGUUUGGGCCGAGUUCUGGCUGUUUCUCACUCUAAUAAGCCGCUGCGCCUGUCAGGCCCUCACAGUUUACAUCACUCAAACGGUAGAUUUGUUGGUUUCAACCGCAAAUUGAGCUCGAAAUGGCGAUCUACGGCGUCCGAACUCGAAUCUUCUUCUUUCGCGCCUUCUGUCGACUCUGAUUCCACUGAUAAAAACGCAGCUGGGUUUUGUAUUAUAGAAGGACCUGAAACGGUUCAAGACUUCGCUAAAAUGGAACUGCAAGAAAUUCGAGAUAAUAUUCGAAGUCGGCGGAACAAAAUUUUCUUACAGAUGGAGGAGGUUCGUAGGCUAAGGAUACAGCAGAGAAUCAAGAGUGCUGAGCUCGGGAUUUUAAAGGAAGCGCAAGAGAAUGAGCUUCCUGACUUUCCAUCAUUCAUCCCCUUUUUGCCUCCUUUGAGUGCAGAAAAUCUUAAGCUGUAUUAUGCUACUUGUUUUUCUCUUAUUGCUGGGAUCAUCAUUUUUGGUGGCCUUUUGGCACCUACUUUGGAGCUUAAGCUGGGGUUAGGGGGAACAUCAUAUGAAGAUUUUAUCCGCAGUGUCCAUUUGCCUAUGCAAUUGAGUCAGGUUGAUCCAAUAGUGGCUUCAUUCUCUGGAGGAGCAGUUGGGGUGAUCUCAGCCUUGAUGGUAGUUGAGAUAAACAAUGUAAAACAACAGGAACA